GAUGAACGCUGGCGGCGUGCCUAAUACAUGCAAGUCGAGCGAACAGACGAGGAGCUUGCUCCUCUGACGUUAGCGGCGGACGGGUGAGUAACACGUGGAUAACCUACCUAUAAGACUGGGAUAACUUCGGGAAACCGGAGCUAAUACCGGAUAACAUGUUGAACCGCAUGGUUCAACAGUGAAAGACGGUCUUGCUGUCACUUAUAGAUGGAUCCGCGCCGCAUUAGCUAGUUGGUAAGGUAACGGCUUACCAAGGCAACGAUGCGUAGCCGACCUGAGAGGGUGAUCGGCCACACUGGAACUGAGACACGGUCCAGACUCCUACGGGAGGCAGCAGUAGGGAAUCUUCCGCAAUGGGCGAAAGCCUGACGGAGCAACGCCGCGUGAGUGAAGAAGGUCUUCGGAUCGUAAAACUCUGUUAUUAGGGAAGAACAAAUGUGUAAGUAACUAUGCACGUCUUGACGGUACCUAAUCAGAAGGCCACGGCUAACUACGUG
Molecule: ribosomal RNA, 497 nt
Filed under: uncultured bacterium
Lineage: Bacteria
Description: partial 16S ribosomal RNA
Rfam family: Bacterial small subunit ribosomal RNA
Source: RNAcentral